UCCCGCCGGACCUGACUGCUAUCGGAUUGAUACUAAGCCAUGCGAGUCUUUGUAGUAAUACAAGGCAUACGGCUCAGUAACACGUAGUCAACCUACCCUAUGGACAAGAAUAAUCUCGGGAAACUGGGCAUAAUUCUUGAUAGAUCAUAAUGCCUGGAAUGGUUUAUGGUUAAAAUGAUUCGUCGCCAUAGGAUGGGACUGCGGCCUAUCAGCUUGUUGGUGAGGUAAUGGCCCACCAAGGCGAUUACAGGUACGGGCUCUGAGAGGAGAAGCCCGGAGAUGGGUACUGAGACACGGACCCAGGCCCUAUGGGGCGCAGCAGGCGAGAAAACUUUGCAAUGUGCGAAAGCACGACAAGGUUAAUCCGAGUGAUUUCUGCUAAAGAAAUCUUUUGCCAGUCAUAAAACCACUGGUGAAUAAGGGGUGGGCAAGUUCUGGUGUCAGCCGCCGCGGUAAAACCAGCACCUCAAGUGGUCAGGAUGAUUAUUGGGCCUAAAGCAUCCGUAGCCGGCUUUGUAAGUUUUCGGUUAAAUCCAUGUGCUCAACACAUGGGCUGCCGAAAAUACUGCAUAGCUAGGGAGUGGGAGAGGUAGACGGUACUCAGUAGGAAGGGGUAAAAUCCUUUGAUCUAUUGAUGACCACCUGUGGCGAAGGCGGUCUACCAGAACACGUUCGACGGUGAGGGAUGAAAGCUGGGGGAGCAAACCGGAUUAGAUACCCGGGUAGUCCCAGCUGUAAACGAUGCAGACUCGAUGAUGCAUUGGCAUAAUAGCCAGUGCAGUGUCGCAGGGAAGCCGUUAAGUCUGCCGCCUGGGAAGUACGUACGCAAGUAUGAAACUUAAAGGAAUUGGCGGGGGAGCACCACAAGGGGUGAAGCCUGCGGUUCAA
RNAcentral lists this ribosomal RNA (888 nucleotides) under uncultured marine group I thaumarchaeote. Its description in RNAcentral is "SSU rRNA". It matches the Rfam family "Archaeal small subunit ribosomal RNA", at positions 12 to 905 of the family's 1478-position model. Lineage: Archaea; Thermoproteati; Nitrososphaerota. The record is from RNAcentral.